UGGGGAAUAUUGGACAAUGGGCGCAAGCCUGAUCCAGCCAUGCCGCGUGUGUGAAGAAGGCCUUUUGGUUGUAAAGCACUUUAAGCGAGGAGGAGGCUACUUGGAUUAAUACUCUAGGAUAGUGGACGUUACUCGCAGAAUAAGCACCGGCUAACUCUGUGCCAGCAGCCGCGGUAAUACAGAGGGUGCGAGCGUUAAUCGGAUUUACUGGGCGUAAAGCGUGCGUAGGCGGCUUCUUAAGUCGGAUGUGAAAUCCAUGAGCUUAACUUAGGAAUUGCAUUCGAUACUGGGAAGCUAGAGUAUGGGAGAGGAUGGUAGAAUUCCAGGUGUAGCGGUGAAAUGCGUAGAGAUCUGGAGGAAUACCGAUGGCGAAGGCAGCCAUCUGGCCUAAUACUGACGCUGAGGUACGAAAGCAUGGGGAGCAAACAGG
Molecule: ribosomal RNA, 430 nt
Filed under: bacterium
Lineage: Bacteria
Also listed under: 1 other name
Description: partial 16S ribosomal RNA
Rfam family: Bacterial small subunit ribosomal RNA
Source: RNAcentral